GACGAACCGUGCGAACGUUAUUCGGAAUCACUGGGCUUAAAGGGCGCGUAGACUGCCCGCCGCGUCGAGCGUUGAAAGCCCCCGGCUCAACCGGGGAAGCGGCCUCGAAACGGGCGGGCUCGGGUGGAGGAGGGGGACCCGGAACUCACGGUGGAGCGGUGAAAUGCGUUGAGAUCGUGAGGAACGCCCGUGGCGAAAGCGGGGUCCUGGACUCUGACCGACGUUGAGGCGCGAAAGCCAGGGGAGCGAACGGG
This 254-nucleotide ribosomal RNA is filed under the name uncultured Isosphaera sp. RNAcentral describes it as "partial 16S ribosomal RNA". It matches the Rfam family "Bacterial small subunit ribosomal RNA", at positions 524 to 776 of the family's 1533-position model. The record is from RNAcentral. Lineage: Bacteria; Pseudomonadati; Planctomycetota; Planctomycetia; Isosphaerales; Isosphaeraceae.